This is a long non-coding RNA of Peromyscus californicus insignis, 1103 nucleotides long. RefSeq lists it as uncharacterized. The transcript is spliced from 3 exons. NCBI's taxonomy places the organism in Eukaryota, Metazoa, Chordata, Mammalia, Rodentia, Cricetidae. The record is from RefSeq and is a predicted model, not a curated record.
AAGAACGGAUAACGCAACCCUGCCAUCUGUACGCAAUAGAAUUUGUUCAUCUGUAAAGAGAAACGAAAUUUGCAGGAAAAUGGAUCAAACUGGAAAGCAUCACACGCGUGAGACUAGAGAUCCUCAGUGGUGAGAAGCCCACCAAUCCCAUGGUGCAUCUGAGUUGGCGGGAUGAAGGGCAGGAUCUCUGGUUGAGACGGGAGCCAGAGCUGCGGCCUUAUCCCCAGUGUAGAGGGGAGCUGGUCCAGGCCUGUCACCCUCCUUCAUACACAUGCUCAUCCCACAGAGCGUCCAUGGUCAAGCUGCUCGCUCUCCAGCCAAGUGCUAGCACCUGCCCGCGGGGACAGUUACCUGCUGAGAAAGGCCUUCCUGGUCGGCCACUGGUCCAGGAUGAGCUAAGGGUCCUGUGCUAUGGUGCCUGUCAGCUGAGAGCGGGGCCUCUCUGCUCUGACCCCUGGAUUCUUCCUCUUCUAGUGCCUGGUGCAGUCAGCCCCAGGAAACAUGCAGUGAACAAAUGGAGUCACAGCUGGGGACCAUGGGUGACAGAGUGCUGGGGACCGUGGGUGACAGAGUGCUGGGGACCGUGGGUGACAGAGUGCUGGGGACCGUGGGUGACAGAGUACUGGGGACCGUGGGUGACAGAGUACUGGGGACUGGGUGACAGAGUACUGGGGACCGUGGGUGACAGAGUACUGGGGACCGUGGGUGACAGAGUACUGGGGAGUGUGGGUGACAGAGUGCUGGGGACUGUGGGUGACAGAGUACUGGGGACUGGGUGACAGAGUACUGGGGACUGUGGGUGACAGAGUACUGGGGACCGUAGCAGUCCAAGAGAAAUCAGCCUCUCUUGUCAGCAGUGAGCAUUUAAUAGAGGAUUUGGAAAGUGAGGAAAAAAUGAGAAGAAAAAAUUCAUCUCUACUCCCUUGGAGAUAACUCAAAACUAAUGUUUUGGCAUAAAUCUCUCUCUCCAGUCUCUUUAAUACCUGUUUUAAUGUAAUUGAUCCAUGUCUAUAAUGUUGCCAUUCCAAUAUUCACAAUAUAAUGUAUUUUCCUACAUAAUAAAAAGUUGGUUUCAAAGCUAUUUCUACAAUCUGCAUACUUCA